RNAcentral lists this unclassified non-coding RNA (159 nucleotides) under uncultured Roesleria. RNAcentral describes it as "sequence contains ITS1". Lineage: Eukaryota; Fungi; Ascomycota; Leotiomycetes; Helotiales. The record is from RNAcentral.
CAGAGUUCCUGCCCUCACGGGUAGAAACCCCACCCUUGUAUAUUAUAUAUUGUUGCUUUGGCGGGCCGCCCUCACGGGCACCGGCUCACGCUGGCUCGCGCCCGCCGAAGGACCCCAAACUCUGAAGUAUAGUGUCGUCUGAGUACUAUUUAAUAGUUA